GAUGAAGAACGUAGCGAAAUGCGAUAAGUAGUGUGAAUUGCAGAAUUCAGUGAAUCAUCGAAUCUUUGAACGCACAUUGCGCCCCUUGGUAUUCCAUGGGGCAUGCCUGUUCGAGCGUCAUUUGUACCUUCAAGCUUUGCUUGGUGUUGGGUGUUUGUCCAUUCUCUUGCAGAGGGACUCGCCUUAAAGUAAUUGGCAGCCAGUGUUUUGGUUUUGAAGCGCAGCACAAGUCGCGAUUCAAAGCUAUACGCCCGCUUCCACAAGCCUUUUUCACUUUUGACCUCGGAUCAGGUAGGGAUACCCGCUGAACUUAAGCAUAUCAAUAAGCGAGGA
RNAcentral lists this unclassified non-coding RNA (333 nucleotides) under soil metagenome. RNAcentral describes it as "partial contains 5.8S ribosomal RNA, internal transcribed spacer 2, and large subunit ribosomal RNA". The stretch from base 1 to 120 matches the Rfam family "5.8S ribosomal RNA", at positions 35 to 154 of the family's 154-position model. The record is from RNAcentral.